Molecule: long non-coding RNA, 4965 nt
Organism: Xenopus tropicalis (tropical clawed frog)
Lineage: Eukaryota; Metazoa; Chordata; Amphibia; Anura; Pipidae
Exons: 3
Source: RefSeq, a predicted model, not a curated record
UUGCUGGGGGGCCCCAAGUAAAGUUGCUGUGAGUAAAGUUGCUGGGGGGCUGCGUGUAUAGUUGCUGGGGGGGCCCCAAGUAAAGUUGCUGUGAGUAAGGUUGCUGGGGGGCUGCAUGUAUAGUUGCUGGGGGGCUGCGUGUAUAGUUGCUGGGGGGCCCCAAGUAAAGUUGCUGUGAGUAAAGUUGCUGGGGGGCUGCGUGUAUAGUUGCUGGGGGGCCCCAAGUAAAGUUGCUGUGAGUAAAGUUGCUGGGGGGCUGCGUGUAUAGUUGCUGGGGGGCCCCAAGUAAAGUUGCUGUGAGUAAGGUUGCUGGGGGGCUGCAUGUAUAGUUGCUGGGGGGCUGCGUGUAUAGUUGCUGGGGGGCCCCAAGUAAAGUUGCUGUGAGUAAAGUUGCUGGGGGGGCUGCGUGUAUAGUUGCUGGGGGGCCCCAAGUAAAGUUGCUGUGAGUAAAGUUGCUGGGGGGACUGCGUGUAUAGUUGCUGGGGGGCCCCAAGUAAAGUUGCUGUGAGUAAAGUUGCUGGGGGGGCUGCGUGUAUAGUUGCUGGGGGGCCCCAAGUAAAGUUGCUGUGAGUAAGGUUGCUGGGGGGCUGCAUGUAUAGUUGCUGGGGGGCUGCAUGUAUAGUUGCUGGGGGGCCCCAAGUAAAGUUGCUGUGAGUAAGGUUGCUGGGGGGGCUGCGUGUAUAGUUGCUGGGGGGCCCCAAGUAAAGUUGCUGUGAGUAAAGUUGCUGGGGGGCUGCAAGUAAGGGGUACUGUUAUUUCUAUUCUUUCUCAUUCCCAGGCAGCAGUGCAGCCCUGUGUGUAUCACUAUUUCCUGCUUGGAACUGCCCCUCCUUUAUACCCCUUUUCCUUUUAUUGCCAAAUAUAACUCCCGGCUGUAGAACGGAUGGGCGUUGCCGUUGCUAUGAUACAGAGCACAGUGAUACAGAGCCGCUAAGCAGCUGCAGACUCUGUAUAACUGGGGGGCCACUAACUGCCUAGGUAGGGGCCCAUGUUGGCUACUCACACUCACCUAGUGCCUACUCUCAGCCUCUACUCCUUUCCCUCUGCUUCUCUUCCUCCAUCUUGCCCCAUCACUGUGCCCUCCCAUAAAGACCCCAAAUCUGGGUGUGGCUGCCCUUCUCCCUAUAACCCCCCCUGGUGGCAGGUGGUAAGCACAGCACCUUCUGUUCCUAACUAUACUGCCACCUACUGGCCAUGUAGGAAAACAUGAACAGAACAUACAGCCAUCAUUCUCUACCCCCCUUACAACCCCCAAAGGCCCUUGGGGGGGCCCCCCUCACUUGCUGGAGUUUACUUGAAGGACAGACCUGUGACCCUGCUCAGGGGAAUGAGACAAAGUGCUGGGGGUGUCAUUAGUGGGUGCUGCCCCUAGAACCUUCUCAGUCCCCCUACCCCUAGUGUCAGUGUUUCUCUUUACAACUGCACCCAACAGAGGGAAUCAUGGGACUUGUAGGCUUGAGUGUAUUAGAAAACUGAAACUUUUGGCCACAAAACUCUCCUGGUGCCAGUGGCAUCAUCAUUAAGCUGAUGGUUCACUGUUCCUACAGCUGGGCCAGAGAGGCUGAUGGGAGAUGUACCCUCAUAUGAACCCUCCACUGUCUCUACACCUGUAACUUUCCCAGCUAAACCAGAGAGGAUGAUGGGAACUUGUAGGCAUUGGUGUAGAACAAAAUUGUAUCUUUGUACCAGAAUAUAAAUACCUAAUGUCCGCUGCAUUAUAUCAUUUCUCUUGCACAGUUACCCCUUUGCUUCCAAGGGGCCAGAAGGGAUGAUGGGAGAUGUAGGAGAAAGGGCACCAAGAGCAGUAUGAAGCUGUCACGGCUACUAAACGCCAGGAAAUCCCCUGCCAUAGGCACUAGUGAGAAUUCCCUCUGCUAAACACACACGGUUAUCAGUAAAUGAUCGGCAUUGGCUGGUUUAGUAGCUGUGACAAGUAGCUGCUACUAGUUGCUCCGUGUGGCUUCCCCCAUAGAGAGGACAGCAGAGAGUCAGUGUAGGGGGAGAGCUGUGUCAUUCUGGGGGAUAUGUAGAGUCUUUUACUUAUCCUUUAAUACCUGCUUGUGAUUGGCCCACACUUAAAGCUGCCUUUGUGAUUGGCGGAAACAGUGCCCCCUGUCAUUAGCGUGAAUGGAAAGACUGGCACUGGCAGGGGGUGCUUUCUCCCCAAAAACUGCCUCUCAUAAUCAGUGGUGCCCCCUGUGUCCCUGUCAGCUUGAAUGGAAACUGCCUGUUGGCGCAGAAAUGUUACGUGUGCCAUUAGCCCAAUGCUGGGUGCCAACCAGUUCAGACUGGGCAUUGCCACAAUGAGCUCAGAGGUGUUGCUGCAGUGCCCAGCGUUGACAUGUGGGCGGCCCUAAGCUCAUUGGUGAGGCCAAAAUAUGCCCCCCAGCUCACUGUUGCCCUUACCCCCUGCACCAACUUACUGCCCCCAUUCAGAUCUCGGUGCCAUCUUUUGGUUACUUGACUGGUAUUUAUUAACUAAAUCCUGGAGCAAAGUCUCUGUAGAUAGGGCGGCCUCCUCUUCCUCUGCCCUCCCUUGUGUUGGCAGCCCAGUGCCCAGAGUGCCCCCUGCUGAUGGGACUGUACUUAGAUGGGCACAGUCACAGGCAUUACUGGUGGGGCACAGUGACAGCUAUAAACAUGUGAAAGGUUGGUACAGCGGUUACAGGGGCACGCACUGCUGAAUCUUCUCUUGCCCAAGGAAAGGUUGGUACAGCGGGUACAGGGGGCACUCACUGCUGAAUCUUCUCUUGCCCAAGGAAAGGUUGGCACAGCGGGUACAGGGGCACUCACUGCUGAACUUUCUCUUGCCCAAGGGAAGGUUGGUACAGCGGUUACAGGGGCACUCACUGCUGAACUUUCUCUUGCCCAAGGAAAGGUUGGUACAGGGGGCACUCACUGCUGAACUUUCUCUUGCCCAAGGAAAGGUUGGUACAGGGGGCACUUAGUGCUGAAUCUUCUCUUGCCCAAGGGAAGGUUGGCACAGCUGGUACAGGGGGCACUCACUGCUGAAUCUUCUCUUGCCCAAGGGAAGGUUGGUACAGCGGGUACAGGGGCACUCACUGCUGAAUCUUCUUUUGCCCAAGGGAAGGUUGAUACAGCGGGUACAGGGGCACUCACUGCUGAAUCUUCUCUUGCCCAAGGGAAGGUUGGCACAGCGGGUACAGGGGCACUCACUGCUGAAUCUUCUCUUGCCCAAGGGAAGGUUGGUACAGGGGGCACUCACUGCUGAAUCUUCUCUUGCCCAAGGGAAGGUUGGUACAGCGGGUACAGGGGCACUCACUGCUGAAUCUUCUCUUGCCCAAGGGAAGGUUGGUACAGCGGGUACAGGGGCACUCACUGCUGAAUCUUCUCUUGCCCAAGGGAAGGUUGGCACAGCUGGUACAGGGGGCACUCACUGCUGAAUCUUCUCUUGCCCAAGGGAAGGUUGAUACAGGGGGCACUCACUGCUGAAUCUUCUCUUGCCCAAGGGAAGGUUGGUACAGCGGGUACAGGGGGCACUCACUGCUGAAUCUUCUCUUGCCCAAGGGAAGGUUGGUACAGGGGGCACUCACUGCUGAAUCUUCUCUUGCCCAAGGGAAGGUUGGUACAGCGGGUACAGGGGCACUCACUGCUGAAUCUUCUCUUGCCCAAGGGAAGGUUGGUACAGGGGGCACUCACUGCUGUAUCUUCUCUUGCCCAAGGGAAGGUUGGUACAGGGGGCACUCACUGCUGAAUCUUCUCUUGCCCAAGGGAAGGUUGGUACAGCGGGUACAGGGGCACUCACUGCUGAAUCUUCUCUUGCCCAAGGGAAGGUUGGUACAGGGGGCACUCACUGCUGAAUCUUCUCUUGCCCAAGGGAAGGUUGGUACAGCGGGUACAGGGGCACUCACUGCUGAAUCUUCCUCUUGCCCAAGGGAAGGUUGGUACAGCGGGUACAGGGGCACUCACUGCUGAAUCUUCUGUUGCCCAAGGGAAGGUGGGCACAGCGGGUACAGGGGCACUCACUGCUGAAUCUUCUCUUGCCCAAGGGAAGGUUGGCACAGCUGGUACUGGGGCACUCACUGCUGAAUCUUCUCUUGCCCAAGGGAAGGUUGGCACAGCGGGUACAGGGGGCACUCACUGCUGAAUCUUCUCUUGCCCAAGGGAAGGUUGGUACAGGGGGCACUCACUGCUGAAUCUUCUCUUGCCCAAGGGAAGGUUGAUACAGCGGGUACAGGGGCACUCACUGCUGAAUCUUCUCUUGCCCAAGGAAAGGUUGGCACAGCGGGUACAGGGGGCACUCACUGCUGAAUCUUCUCUUGCCCAAGGGAAGGUUGGUACAGCGGGUACAGGGGCACUCACUGCUGAAUCUUCUCUUGCCCAAGGGAAGGUUGAUACAGCGGGUACAGGGGCACUCACUGCUGAAUCUUCCCUUGCCCAAGGAAAGGUUGAUACAGCGGGUACAGGGGCACUCACUGCUGAAUCUUCUCUUGCCCAAGGAAAGGUUGGCACAGCGGGUACAGGGGGCACUCACUGCUGAAUCUUCUCUUGCCCAAGGGAAGGUUGGUACAGCGGGUACAGGGGCACUCACUGCUGAAUCUUCUCUUGCCCAAGGGAAGGUUGGCACAGCGGGUACAGGGGCACUCACUGCUGAAUCUUCUCUUGCCCAAGGAAAGGUUGGCACAGCGGGUACAGGGGCACUCACUGCUGAAUCUUCUCUUGCCCAAGGAAAGGUUGGUACCACGGGUACAGGGGCACUCACUGCUGAAUCUUCUCUUGCCCAAGGAAAGGUUGGCACAGCGGGUACAGGGGCACUCACUGCUGAAUCUUCUCUUGCCCAAGGAAAGGUUGGUACCACGGGUACAGGGGCACUCACUGCUGAAUCUUCUCUUGCCCAAGGAAAGGUUGGCACAGCGGGUACAGGAGCACUCACUGCUGAAUCUUCUCUUGCCCAAGGAAAGGUUGGCACAGCGGGUACAGGGGCACUCACUGCUGAAUCUUCUC